CGCAGAGAUCCACUAGGGGAUACUGCCAUGGAUUUAGAAAAGAGUUGAUCUACACAGAAUGAGGGCUUCUCAGUGGUGGCAGAGAGGAAUCAUUCUCUCUUUCCAUAAGCAUGUUCUAAGCAUUUGGAUAUAACAUGCCAGACGCUAGUCUUGACGCUGAAUACCGCAAUGAAGAAGACAAAGUCCUUGCUCUUGUAGAGUUUAUAUUCUUGCAGAGGAAAUUUAUAAUAAACAAGGAAAUACAUAAAAAUAUAAUGUUAGAUAUCAUAAAAAAUAGAGUAAGAGAGUUGAAAAAGGCUACCACAUACUACAAUAUGUUGACAUUUAACACAAGGGUUCAUAGAAAGACUUGUGGACAAUUCGUGCAACUGCUUCAAAAGGAGAGAUUCACUCUCCUGGUCUCCUAAAGGAACAGUAUUGUCUACUUGUUGGCCAAGCCCUGAAACAGAAGCGAUGAUGCUGCUUUACCAACCUUCCGUUUAACUCUGGGCAAAUGCACUUUCAUCCCUCUAAUCAUUAUGUUAACCAUCUGUGAAAAUGCAUAAAUCUCAGAUUCCAGAAGUCUGAUGAAAUCUACUAGAACAUAAUUAAGCUUAACCAAACCUCUCUUCUCUGGGGUGCGCAUCAAACUAUAACAAGGCCACAGCUGCAAAAGUGCGUUUUGUGAAGCAGUGAGUGGAGACUGAGUCCGUCAGGUUUUUAAGGCAUUGCCGAUGUAGGUUUAACUUACAGUGCCACCACCUCCUAUCUCUGUGGCCUUGGAGAUGAUUAACUUCUCUGGGCUUACUGUCCUUCUCUAUAACAUGGUUGUAACAGCAACCAUCUCAGCAUAUAUCUCAGUUGCAAAGGUUUAAGGAGAUUGCAUAUUUGUUCAAAAGACAUAUGAACUAUCUCACCGUUUCACAACUUACAGUCUUCUCUUAAGGAUUCCGCCAAGCUACAUGAAUGAGGAUGGAGCAGCCACAUUUGUAGUAUGAAGUCCUGCUUUCCUGUCCAUUGUUGAUUGGAGAAGAGUGGGCCUCUGCACCAACCCAGACUGAUGUGGGAUUCUCUCUUCCCACAUUUGGCGCUUGCAAUUGGAGUUGCUAAACUGAGAUCAAUGUCAGAUUUCUUGGGAGAUCAAUGAAUUCUUGCUGCCCGGUUCCCUGAGCUUCCCUGGUUCUCCUCUUCUUAUGUAUCACUUCUUUCUCAACUUUUAUGAGAUAUCCCCCUUUUCUUCCAAUAGACCUCUCUUUAGUUGGAAUUUGAUUCUGACUAUUCACAUUUCAAAUAAAUCCUUAGGUGUUUAUAAUUAAAUGCUUGAUAUUCUUUUGAAUAUGUUCCUUCUAGAGUUUCCUGUUUCAGCAUACACACUGGUUGUGCAACUGGACAUCUCAGCAUCUCUCUAGAAACUGUCCUUUUCCUUCAGCACCAUAUCAAGUCCAUGAAAUCACCUUGAAAUACUUUUUCUCAAAUGUUUCUUUUCUAAAACUUUUCAAGUGACACUUCUUUCUCACCUAGGCUCCUCUCCAUCAAAAGUGGCUUUAACACCUAUUUUCCAGCUUUCUUUCAAUUCAUUCUCCAUAUGGAAGCUGGAGGGAGAGAGAUCCUUCCAAACGUGAGUCAAUCUGGAUCAUGUAACUCCUCUGUUGAAAGAAUUUAAAUGGACUCCCAUUGCCCUUGGAAUACAAUCCCACCUCUCUGCCAUCACCUACAAGAUCCUUUCAGCUCUAGCUCUGCCCAUCAUUUCAUUUCCACCUUCUACUUCUCCUGCAGGUGGGCACUUUUCUUGCUUUGGUUGUUUCCCGAAGGUUCUAGCUCUUUUCUGCCCUGGGGCUUUUUCACAGGUGGUUUCUUAUUUCUGCACUUCUCCCUCAGAUGACUAUUAUGCAACUACCUCAUCUUCUUCUCAUUUCCAUCAUUUUCUGCAGAGAUCUUCCCUGACUUCCUGUGAUAUUAUGAUAUAGUAAGAAAUAUAUAUAUGUCAAUCUUCCCUCAGUUUCCUGGUUCACAGCUCCGAAAGCUCUUGGAAUCUCUGAAGUGAUAAUUUUUUUUUUUUGU
Molecule: long non-coding RNA, 2040 nt
Organism: Macaca mulatta (Rhesus monkey)
Lineage: Eukaryota; Metazoa; Chordata; Mammalia; Primates; Cercopithecidae
Source: Ensembl